GCAUGAACAGGAAUGUUUUUAAGUUCCCCCAGAACAUUAUCAACAAGGGAGGGAGAUGUACCUCACCAGGGAGGGCAUUCCACAAAUAGGAACCACCACCUAGAAGGCCCUGUCAUAGGUCAAGGCCAAGUGGGCAGCAAGCACCAACAAAAUAGAAGUAGCAUAUUUCUGGAAGUGGGAAGAGCUUUGAAAGUAUGGGUUGCAAAAGCCCAAGCUAUCGCAAAUGUAACAUGAGCUUUCCGUUAAUAACUGUUAACCAUCUUAGCCCCAAUAUUAGGAAUCAGUGAUCCCUCUAAGAAGCAAAUUGCUCUCUUCUGCUUUACCCCAAGGAGUAUUAUCCAUGAUUGAAGUUAACCAGAGAGUUGCCAGUUAAUGCCAGAGGUCAAUUUAGAGCUUAGGCUGGCAUUCUGCAAGGAUGCAACAGGCCACAGUGUCAGUUGAUGCCUCCUGACCCAGUUCAUAGACUUCUGCAUCAGGAUUGCUUGCUGGUCUAAGCAACAAUCAGACCUACUUUUGCUCCCUACAGGCUGAGUCUUCCUUUGUUUCCUCUUUGCCUUGCUGGAACUGAUGACGCCUUGUUAACCAUCCCUGUAAAUGCUCAUGUUGGGUCUGUACUCAGGUGCUAAAACUUCGACCAGUCAAAAUUACGAGGCUCAGCUUGUGAAAACAUUAUCCAGCAGGGAACAGCUUGUUUCCCAUCCGACUAGAGAGGGAGUAAGAGAUGUGUUUCCCCGUAGUUUAUCAGGUCUGCAGUCCAGAUUGGCUGUUAUCUGGACUUUACCUGCAUUUCUUGUAUGUCACCUGGAUGAGCAGUUAUCUCCAGCCAAACCACCUGCUCUGGCAAGUUAUCUCCAAGUGACUGGAUUUCCUUUCGCCUUAUUAUAGAUAAGUAACUGUAAAGCAAGGGGAACAAGCAGGGCAUCGGAUAAAUGGUAAUCCUGCGGGGCGCAGAGUUGUAGCGAUGGGAGCCGGUGCAGUUAAGGAGUGUUAACAUCUCCCUGGAAAAUGUUUGGCAUCCUUCAGAGAGAGAUUGAAAGCCACGACGUCGCAGUUAGAAGUUUGUUCUGCAGAACCGAAGACCGACAGGAGGGCAGGGAAACACAGAAGGUGCAAAUUCAAUGAGAGGAACUUGAAAUUUCCGUCUUCCUUCUGGGGACUUUGUAGUUUAGAGCAAAUGAGAGCAAGGGUUUGAUAGAAGUUUAUAAAAUUACAUGCAGCAGGGAGAAAGUGGGUAGAAUUAUUUUUUCUCUCCUGGUCUCAUAACACCAGAAUUUGUGGACAUUAAGUGAAACUGACUGUUGAAAGAUUCAGAGUGCACAGCACACAGCUAAACUAUGAUGGCCGCCAAGUUGGAUGACUUUCAAAGAAGAUUAGACCAAUUCACAGAGAAGGCUAUUGAUGGCAAUGCUUCUGAAUACGGUUGUUGGAACCCACAGGAGGAGAGAGGGCUGUUGUGUUCGAAUCCUGAUUGCGGGUUGUGGCGAUCACACAGAGUCCCCGGACGUUUGACGGUCUAUUGAUCCCUGUGCCACUACUGUGAUUGCCUCCUCGCUGCCACCAACCCGUUUCUCUCGGGUACACACGGAGCCCAGACAGUUGUUAACAUUAACAAAUAAUCAAGUUUAUUUUUAUAAGCAUGAACAAGUUUAAGGUUUCAGUUAAUUUUUCUUGUCAGUUUCUUAAUCGUAGUUUCUUUACUGACCUAUACGUUCCUAACAACUUCAAACUGAUUGUCCCAGCUAUCUAUCUGACUCCACCUAGCAGUUCCUCUCACUCUCUCACAACACAACUGGACCAACCCACAGACUUAUCCUCCCUCUUCCCUCUCCAACUCCCAACUGACUUUCCAACAAUUCCAACUCUAACUCCUCCCCUUGGGUUCCCACUGGCCAAUCACAUCGCACUCAUUUAAGCCUUUCCUUAUGACCCACCUAGGAGGGCAAACGCCACACGGGUUCCAACAGGCAUCUGUCUGGACACUGUGAGAACAGGAUGAUGGACAUGUGAAAAAGAUCUAGGGGUCUUAGUAGACCAUGAGUCAACAGUGUGAUGCAGCAGCAACAAAAAACAACAACGCUCUUUGAGGCUGCGUCAGCAGAGGUAAAGUGUCCAGAUCAAGGGACGUCGUAGUACCACUCUAUUCUGCCUUGGUCAGACCCCACCUGGAAUACAGUGUCCAAUUCUGGGCCCCAUAAUUUAAGAAGGAUGUUGACAAGCUGGAAUGUGUGUGGAAGAGAGCAACCAAGAUGAUCAAGGGUCUGGAAACCAAGCCUUUUGAAGAACGGUUGAAGGAGUUGUGUACGUUUAGCCUGGAAAAGAGGAGAUAUGAGAGCCAUCUUCAAAUAUCUGAAGGGCCGUUACAUGAAAGAUGGAGCAGUUUUGUUUUUCCGGAGGCUAGGACCCAAGCCAAUAGCUUCAAGUUACAAGAAAGGAGAUUCUGAUGGAACGUCAGGAGGAGCUUUUUUGAUGGUAAGAGCUGUUCAACAAUGGAACAAGAAGACUCCUUUGAGAGGUUGUGGACUCUCCUUUUGUGGAGGUUUUUAAGCAGAGGUUGGGGGGGCCAUAUGUCAGGGAAGCUUUAGCUGAAAUUCCUGCAGUGCGGGGGUUUGGAUGACCUUUGGGGUUCCCUCCAACUUUACACUUCGAUGAUUCUGUGACUAGAUGGGCCAUUGGCUUGAUCCAGGAGGCUCUUCUUAUCUUUAUGCCUGUCCUUGGGAUGAAUAUGUUUUGCCUUCUAAUAUGCUAGGAUUCUGAGCUUUGUGGUUUUAUUCAAAUGUGUGAUUUAUUUUUUAAAAAUUUUUUUUUACCCCCAAACAGCUAAGAAUAGUAAAAGAGCAAGAAAACCAUCAAACUCAUGGCUCAGGGGAAAAUCAUCUGCUGUGAACGCAGAAGGCCUCAAGUUCUGCCUCUGGCAAUGCUAGCUAAAAGGAUCACGUCGUGGGUGAAAUUUUGUUUUCAUGUAUACCACUUAGAAAUGCAGGUAAUUAAGUGCUAUAUGAACAUCUUAAACAAAUAAACAUUUUAGCAGGCUGCACCCAACCAAACUGGACUCUGAGUAGACCAACUGAAAUGAAUAGUUGCCCAUUCAUUUCAGCUAGUUGCCCAUUCAUUUCAAUAGCCUACUCUGCGUAUUACUAACAUCGGAUAAAUUAUUUACAUUAUUGACAGGCCGCCCUGAAGCAAAAAGCUCCCUGGGCAGCUCCACAGAUAAAAAUGAGAAAUUAUAGCUUGAUAAAAACAUAGGGCAUUUCCAAACUGUCGCUAAAUGUAUUUCCAAGUGCAAAUUCAAGUUCGGUGGCCAAAUCAUCUCUGGAUCAUUAUGAAAACUUGCAGGACCACAGCCUGUUUUGAGAUUUUUUUGGGGGGAGGGGGUACAUUUAUAUUCAAUGUGGAGAUUGGGAGGAAGAAAAGUACAUUUGUACAGUGGUACCUUGGUUUGCAACCGUUUUGGAUUACAACCGUUUUGGAUUACAACCAUGUCAAACCCUGAAGUGUGUGUCCCUUUUUUUUGGAUUACAACCCAUUUUUUAAAAUUACAACCCAUUUUUUGGGGGGAGGCCCCUUUGGCGAAAGCGCGCCUUGGGUUACAACCUGUUUUGGUUUACAACCGGACCUCCGGCACAGAUUAUGGUUGUAAACGAAGGUAUCACUGUAUUCAGUUAAUGAAGGACACUUUCAACUGGCCUGACUGCUUUUAAUUAAAAGAUUACUUCUGCCUUCACCCAACCCCUUCCUGUCUGAAUUGAAUUGAAUUUUAUUAUUAUGGUCACAGACCAGUUCCGGCUCACUUACAAUAUCAGGAAAAUCAUAAAACACUACAGGAAUACACUGAAUCGCAUAACAGAGACAAUACAGAUAUAGCAGCAGUUAAAAAUAUAUAUUAAAUCUUGAUCACUAAAAUAUAACCUAAAAUUGUUAUUUAAAACCUUAAUCAUUUUGGUAGUACAGCUUGUUCCCUAAGUUUUAUGGCAGUCACUCUUCUUGUUUAAAUUUGCCACAGAUUCCCUCUUUUCCAUGGUCUUCUCUCCCACUGUAGGGUUGAUGCCUCUCCCAAACUCUGAAACCCCACUGCCUUCACCCACCCGUCCGAGCUCUAACUUUGAUUGAUAUACCCAGCCGUCGCAUGGGGAUUUCUCUGAUUGAUUGAUUCCUGCCUAAGCAGAUGUGGGGUGGGGAGAGAGAAUAUUUACCGCCCUGCGAAACAGGCUUUCAGGAGAAUGUUUUAUGAGGGCUGCUUACAAUAUAGAAAGUGCAGUAAAAGGACCGAAAAGACAAACUUAAUGUGAGGUAAAUAGAGCAGGUCUCCCGCCGGGCACCUGUCAAGAGUCCUGCGUACCUGCAGCUCCCAGGUCAGCCUUUGACCAUCAUCUCAAGAAUGGAAUAGCUUCUGUUUUCUAAACUGAUAUAUUGACCCAAUAAAAAGUAUUAUUACAUUGCCUAUCACUGCUCACAACGGGGGAACCUUUAUAAAAAGAGUGAUUGCUCCAUUCGGAGAGUUACGAGAGAAAGAGGUUUAUGUGUGUGUGAAAGAGAAAGGUAAGUUCUUUGUGAUGGAGAAAAUGCAGGUUUUCAAAACCCUUUGAUUGACUGACUAAUUGGCUGAUUGCGAGAUGUGAUAGGCGGCCCUAUAAGAUUUUUAAAAGGGCACUCUUGUGUAGUUCUGGCUGUCAAAGGAGGUGAUGACCUUCCCUCGGGUCUUUUGUUUAAGGCCGGGGCAUUGGGCAGCUGUUCUGUCAACAGCUUCUGAUUGUGGGUGGCUCCUAGCAGGCAGGGUGGACCUGAGACUAAUGUUCUUCCUGUUUAUAUGUGACUAGGGAGAAAGUGAGGAGGAAUUAAAGAACCUUUUAAUGAGGGUGAAAGAGGAGAGCGCAAAAUAUGGUCUGAAGUUCAACAUCAAAAAAACGAAGAUCAUGGCCACUGGGCCCAUCACCUCCUGGCAAAUAGAAGGGGAAGAAAUGGAGGCAGUGAGAGAUUUUACUUUCUUGGGCUCCAUGAUCACUGCAGAUGGUGACAGCAGCCACGAAAUUAAAAGACGCCUGCUUCUUGGGAGAAAAGCAAUGACAAACCUAGACAGCAUCUUAAAAAGCAGAGACAUCACCUUGCUGACAAAGGUCCGUAUAGCUAAAGCUAUGGUUUUCCCAGUAGUGAUGUAUGGAAGUGAGAGCUGGACCAUAAAGAAGGCUGAUCGCCAAAGAACUGAUGCUUUUGAAUUAUAGUGUUGGAGAAGACUCUUGAGAGUCCCAUGGACUGCAAGAUCAAACCUAUCCUUUCUGAAGGAAAUCAGCCCUGAGUGCUCCCUGGAAGGACAGAUUGUGAAACUGAGGCUCCAAUACUUUGGCCACCUCAUGAGAAGAGAAGACUCCCUGGAAAAGACCCUGAUGCUGGGAAAGACCCUGUGCUGGGAGGGCACAAGGAGAAGGGGACGACAGAGGAUGAGUUGGUUGGACAGUAUUCUCCAAGCUACCAGCAUGAGUUUGACUAAACUGCGGGAGGCAGUGGAAGACAGAAGUGCCUGGCGUGCUCUGGUCCAGGGGGUCACGAAGAGUCGGAUGCGACGAAAUGACUAAACAACAACAACAACAAAGGGAAAAAGUUUGGUAUGCUGUCAGCAAAGAAGACAGAAGCCUGUCUUUUCUCACCAGCUGUGGGCACCAAAGGGGUAUGUGGCUUGCUUUUUUUGGGGUGGAAAUGAUGCUGCUUUCAAGAUGGACUAAAGAAAGCACGCCUUUAUAUGAUGCAAAAUGGAUUUGCGAUACAGUGGUACCUUGGGUUACAGACACUUCAGGUUACAGACUCUGCUAACUCAGAAAUAGUACAUCGGGUUAAGAACUUUGCUUCAGGAUGAGAACAGAAAUCGUGCUCCGGCGGCGCAGCGGCAGCAGGAGGCCCCAUUAACUAAAGUGGUGCUUCAGGUUAAGAACAGUUUCAGUUUAAGAAUGGACCCCCAGAACGAAUUAAGUUCCUAGCCCGAGGUACCACUGUAUUUGCUUUCACAAGGCUUGUCUGCACUGUUUUCUGCUUGACCCACACUUUCUAGGCAUGGGUCUGGCUGGUUUUGCCUUUUGCCCCACUGCUUUCCCCUGAAAAACCCGUUCUUUAGUGCUAAAUCGGAACAAGCGGCAAUUUGCAGCAGGCUGGGCAGGGGCAGGAACAAGGGAGGGGAGGAGAUGUUUCAUUGUGGAAGUGGAAAUCCUUGCACUGACAGAACGAGUUAGUUGGACAUUUCAUCGAAUCAUAGAACUGUAGAGUUGGAAGGGACCCUGAGGGUCAUCUAGUCCAACCCCCUGCAAUGAAGGAAUCUCAGCUAAAGCAUCCAUGACAGAUGGACAUCCAACCGCUGCUUAAAAACCUCUGGCCACAACUUCCAGAGGAAGACCAUUCCACUGCCGAACAGCUCUUACUGCCAGAAAAUCCUUCCUGGUGUAUAAUUGGAAUCUCCUUUCUUGUGACUUGAAGCCAUGGGUUCGAGUCCUACCCUACGGAGCACCGGGAUUGCCUAGCAGCGGAUGCUGAGAGGCAGUGAGGUGUUGGAGGUGUAAAUGACUACCAGACUGCCA
Non-coding RNA from Podarcis lilfordi (Lilford's wall lizard), 6557 nucleotides. The record is from the annotation of a GenBank genome assembly. NCBI's taxonomy places the organism in Eukaryota, Metazoa, Chordata, Lepidosauria, Squamata, Lacertidae.